RNAcentral lists this ribosomal RNA (439 nucleotides) under uncultured bacterium. RNAcentral's name for it is "partial 16S ribosomal RNA". It matches the Rfam family "Bacterial small subunit ribosomal RNA", at positions 339 to 795 of the family's 1533-position model. The record is from RNAcentral.
CUACGGGUUGCUCCAGUGGGGAAUAUUGCACAAUGGGGGAAACCCUGAUGCAGCAACGCCGCGUGAGUGAAGAAGGUCUUCGGAUUGUAAAGCUCUGUCUUUGGGGACGAUAAUGACGGUACCCAAGGAGGAAGCCACGGCUAACUACGUGCCAGCAGCCGCGGUAAUACGUAGGUGGCAAGCGUUGUCCGGAAUUACUGGGCGUAAAGGAUGCGUAGGCGGAUAUGUAAGUCAGAUGUGAAAUACCCGAGCUUAACUUGGGUGCUGCAUUUGAAACUGCAUGUCUAGAGUGCGGGAGAGGAAAGUGGAAUUCCUAGUGUAGCGGUGAAAUGCGUAGAGAUUAGGAAGAACACCAGUGGCGAAGGCGACUUUCUGGACCGUAACUGACGCUGAGGCAUGAAAGCGUGGGUAGCAAACAGGAUUAGAUACCCCCGUAGUC